UUUGGUUAGCUAAUCUGUCACUCUUCUGCAAUGGUGGGUGCGAUAUUUUUGUGGCGCAUUUAGCUUUUUAACCAUUUGUUGUGCCGUCUUAUGUAACUUGACGCCAGCAAAACAUCGUUUGCGCUCAAAAUAUCAGUAGCAGGUCCAUGUUUAACCCAACUUUCAUUAUGGAUAAAAACAAAGGACCAAAACAAAACUAACCUACCGCGACAUUUCAUAAUUUUUUCGUUUCCGGAAUUACAUAAGCUUAUUAAUUUAAUAAUCAUUUCGCUGUUCAAGCUACUUAAGUUUACGUGGUUGUUUUUAGUCAAAUGUUGUUGCUCUUUAAUAUCCACAUUAAUGUAAUGAAUUUUGAUUGGAAGGAAGAAUGCUUUUGGUUUUUGCUUCCUCAAUUUGAUCCUUUUGUCUCAAAAGAUUUUAUCUUGACCUUAAUAAUGACGAUGAUUUAGAAACAGAUUCAUCUUUGUGCGCAUUUAUUAAUAUUUUUGAUUCACUUGUCCUAAAUGUUAUUUAUCCUAUGCUUUAGUUAGUUCAGAGAAGAAUCAAAUUUUAAAGGUAAAUCUUUGUAAUCGAUUACAUUACGAAUAAUUACCAGAAAAUAUAGUUGGCCCAUAUUUUCCACUUUCAGAACUGUUUUAUUUCUCAUCAUCAAUAGUGAUUUGUUUGGAACUGCCGAAAUAUUUAAAAAUGAUUUAUUCGAAAAAAUGUCUUGAUCAUAAAUACGUAGAUUUUUUUAUAGUUACUAUUUUCUUUAAAUUAUUAUGACUGUACUCAAGGUCCGCAUUAUUACUUACGCCUAGAUUUUCCUGCAAAAAAAUUGUAUAGGGAUGCUUGUUCCACUGCUCAGGUAUACUACUUAACAUAAUUCAAUAUUUGUGUGAUGCUAAACUGUAAUACUUAUAUCUAGAUUUUUUAAUAAAAUUGGUUAAAAUUUCUUUAAACGCUUGAUAAUAUUGAUUUCUCAUUGUAUAGGAUUGUUUUUUUUAAUAUUGUGUUCUCCUAAGCACGAUUGCCGCUCAAAUUUGUCUAGCACGUAUUAGAGAUAUUACACUCAGCCGUAUAUCUAACCCAUUUUUAUUAUUUGCUUUAGGGCGAUUCUUUUGGUUUAUUUUUGUUAUUAUGAAUAUAAUGAAACUUAUUAUGAAUAUAAAACAACCAUUCCAAUUUAUACUUUUGUAUUGUAAUUCAAAAAAUUAUUACAUUUAUUACAAUUCAUUAUUUGAACUUUUGUUCAACUGCAUAGGGGCAACAUUUUUGUAGUGGAGAGUAGAGUAUAAUAUGUUGGAAUUUUUAUCACUUAUACAUUUUAUUUAAACUUAUACGAAUAUUGACUUGACUAUCAUUCAUUGUUUGCUUUUCUAUUAAGUUAGACUGUCAAUUUUUAGUCAGAUAAAUAUAUCCAUAAAUGUGAAUAUUACAUAUACUGAUGGUGGACUACUUAACAUUUUCUUGUCUGGCGGCAGGGUAUAACAAGUGCUAUAACUAGUACAUAUGUAAUUUCAUUACAUCUCUAGAUUCCAAUUAGUUUCCGCCCAGUCUUUAAUGUUUUAUUUGCAAAAUGUAUUUAGAGUGGCGGUUUUUCAGAAAACAGCCGCAAAACUUAUCAUUUUUCUUAUACUGCUGUUCUAAUUAAAAUAACGUUCUGUUCUAUGCCGUAUGAGAAGUGAAAAUGUCGAAAACAUUAGACUGCUCUAGAUUGAAGACAUUAAAGUAGGUUUUAAGCAACUGUUUAUAAAAUAAAGGUCGUGAAAUAAA
This is a long non-coding RNA of Dendroctonus ponderosae (mountain pine beetle), 1755 nucleotides long. RefSeq lists it as uncharacterized. Lineage: Eukaryota; Metazoa; Arthropoda; Insecta; Coleoptera; Curculionidae. The transcript is spliced from 2 exons. The record is from RefSeq and is a predicted model, not a curated record.